Molecule: ribosomal RNA, 713 nt
Filed under: Bacillus halotolerans
Lineage: Bacteria; Bacillati; Bacillota; Bacilli; Caryophanales; Bacillaceae
Description: bacterial SSU rRNA
Rfam family: Bacterial small subunit ribosomal RNA
Source: RNAcentral
AUGGACCCGCGGCGCAUUAGCUAGUUGGUGAGGUAAUGGCUCACCAAGGCAACGAUGCGUAGCCGACCUGAGAGGGUGAUCGGCCACACUGGGACUGAGACACGGCCCAGACUCCUACGGGAGGCAGCAGUAGGGAAUCUUCCGCAAUGGACGAAAGUCUGACGGAGCAACGCCGCGUGAGUGAUGAAGGUUUUCGGAUCGUAAAGCUCUGUUGUUAGGGAAGAACAAGUACCGUUCGAAUAGGGCGGCACCUUGACGGUACCUAACCAGAAAGCCACGGCUAACUACGUGCCAGCAGCCGCGGUAAUACGUAGGUGGCAAGCGUUGUCCGGAAUUAUUGGGCGUAAAGGGCUCGCAGGCGGUUCCUUAAGUCUGAUGUGAAAGCCCCCGGCUCAACCGGGGAGGGUCAUUGGAAACUGGGGAACUUGAGUGCAGAAGAGGAGAGUGGAAUUCCACGUGUAGCGGUGAAAUGCGUAGAGAUGUGGAGGAACACCAGUGGCGAACGCGACUCUCUGGUCUGUAACUGACGCUGAGGAGCGAAAACGGGGGGAACGAACACGAUUACAUACCCUGGUACUCCACGCCGUAAACGAUUAGUGCUAACUGUUAGGGGGUCUCCUCCCCUAUUGCUGCACCUAGCCCAUAAAUCACUCCGCCUCCGCACUAGGGUCGCCGGACUCUUACUCCUCGGAGUUAACGGAGGGCCGCACAAC